GGAGGAAUAUUGGUCAAUGGACGAGAGUCUGAACCAGCCAAGUAGCGUGCAGGAUGACGGCCCUCCGGGUUGUAAACUGCUUUUAGUUGGGAAUAAAGUUCGGGACGUGUCCCGAUUUGUAUGUACCAUCAGAAAAAGGACCGGCUAAUUCCGUGCCAGCAGCCGCGGUAAUACAGAAGGUCCGGGCGUUAUCCGGAUUUAUUGGGUUUAAAGGGAGCGUAGGCCGUCUUUUAAGCGUGUUGUGAAAUGCCGCGGCUCAACCGUGGCACUGCAGCGCGAACUGGAGGACUUGAGUGCGCAGGAGGUAGGCGGAAUUCGUGGUGUAGCGGUGAAAUGCUUAGAUAUCACGAAGAACCCGAUUGCGAAGGCAGCUUACCGUAGCGUUACUGA
This 390-nucleotide ribosomal RNA is filed under the name uncultured Prevotella sp. RNAcentral describes it as "bacterial SSU rRNA". It matches the Rfam family "Bacterial small subunit ribosomal RNA", at positions 355 to 743 of the family's 1533-position model. The record is from RNAcentral. Lineage: Bacteria; Pseudomonadati; Bacteroidota; Bacteroidia; Bacteroidales; Prevotellaceae.